RNAcentral lists this ribosomal RNA (254 nucleotides) under uncultured bacterium. RNAcentral describes it as "partial 16S ribosomal RNA". It matches the Rfam family "Bacterial small subunit ribosomal RNA", at positions 524 to 776 of the family's 1533-position model. The record is from RNAcentral.
GACGAACCGUGCGACCGUUAUUCGGAAUCACUGGGCUUAAAGCGCGUGUAGGCGGGCUGGCACGUCGGUCGCUGAAAGCCCCCGGCUCAACCGGGGAAGGGGCGCCGAUACGACCGUCCUGGAGGGACGUAGGGGGACCUGGAACUUCCGGUGGAGCGGUGAAAUGCGUUGAGAUCGGAAGGAACGCCCGUGGCGAAAGCGAGGUCCUGGACGUUUACUGACGCUGAGACGCGAAAGCCAGGGGAGCGAACGGG